RNAcentral lists this ribosomal RNA (514 nucleotides) under uncultured bacterium. RNAcentral's name for it is "partial 16S ribosomal RNA". It matches the Rfam family "Bacterial small subunit ribosomal RNA", at positions 355 to 883 of the family's 1533-position model. The record is from RNAcentral.
UGGGGAAUCUUAGACAAUGGGGGCAACCCUGAUCUAGCCAUGCCGCGUGAGUGAUGAAGGCCUUAGGGUUGUAAAGCUCUUUCAGCUGGGAAGAUAAUGACGGUACCAGCAGAAGGAAGCCCCGGCUAACUCCGUGCCAGCAGCCGCGGUAAUACGGAGGGGGCUAGCGUUGUUCGGAAUUACUGGGCGUAAAGCGCACGUAGGCGGACCGGAAAGUUGGGGGUGAAAUCCCGGGGCUCAACCUCGGAACUGCCUUCAAAACUAUCGGUCUGGAGUUCGAGAGAGGUGAGUGGAAUUCCGAGUGUAGAGGUGAAAUUCGUAGAUAUUCGGAGGAACACCAGUGGCGAAGGCGGCUCACUGGCUCGAUACUGACGCUGAGGUGCGAAAAGCGUGGGGAGCAAAACAGGAUUAGAUACCCUGGUAGUCCACGCCGUAAAACGAUGAAUGCCAGUCGUCGGGUUGCAUGCAAUUCGGUGACACACCUAACGGAUUAAGCAUUCCGCCUGGGGAGUAC